RNAcentral lists this ribosomal RNA (473 nucleotides) under uncultured bacterium. RNAcentral's name for it is "bacterial SSU rRNA". It matches the Rfam family "Bacterial small subunit ribosomal RNA", at positions 28 to 507 of the family's 1533-position model. The record is from RNAcentral.
GAUGAACGCUAGCUACAGGCUUAACACAUGCAAGUCGAGGGGUUUGCUUCGGCAAACGACCGGCGCACGGGUGAGUAACGCGUAUCCAACCUGCCUCUCUCAUUGGGAUAGCCCUCCGAAAGGAGGAUUAAUACCGAAUAACAUAAUGUGUUUGCAUGAAUUCAUUAUGAAAGCUCCGGCGGAGAGAGAUGGGGAUGCGUUUCAUUAGGUAGUAGGCGGGGUAACGGCCCACCUAGCCGACGAUGAAUAGGGGUUCUGAGAGGAAGGUCCCCCACACUGGAACUGAGACACGGUCCAGACUCCUACGGGAGGCAGCAGUGAGGAAUAUUGGUCAAUGGGCGCAAGCCUGAACCAGCCAAGUAGCGUGAAGGAUGACUGCCCUAUGGGUUGUAAACUUCUUUUAUAUGGGAACAAAUGUUGGUACGUGUACUAAUUUGCGUGUACCAUAUGAAUAAGCAUCGGCUAACUCCGUG